Molecule: ribosomal RNA, 121 nt
Filed under: Leminorella grimontii
Lineage: Bacteria; Pseudomonadati; Pseudomonadota; Gammaproteobacteria; Enterobacterales; Budviciaceae
Source: RNAcentral
UGUCUGGCGGCGAUAGCGCGGUGGUCCCACCUGACCCCAUGCCGAACUCAGAAGUGAAACGCCGUAGCGCCGAUGGUAGUGUGGGGCUUCCCCAUGCGAGAGUAGGGAACUGCCAGACUUU